GAUGAAGAACGUAGUGAAAUGCGAUAAGUAAUGCGAAUUGCAGAAUCCGUGAGUCAUCGAAUCUUUGAACGCAUAUUGCGCCCUUUGGCAUUCCGAAGGGCAUGCCUGUUCGAGCGUCAUUAUCACCCCUCAAGCCCCGGCUUGGUGUUGGGCCCCCGGUGGUCGUACCCGACCACCCGCCUCAAAGAUAGUGACGGCGUCCCAGAGGGAACCGGUACGAGGAGCUUUCACGAGCAUGUACGCGGGACGACUCUGUGGGCGACGGUCUUUUUUAACCUUAAUAUAUCAAGUGUUGACCUCGGAUCAGGUAGGAAUACCCGCUGAACUUAAGCAUAUCAAUAAGCGGAGGA
This 350-nucleotide unclassified non-coding RNA is filed under the name soil metagenome. RNAcentral describes it as "partial contains 5.8S ribosomal RNA, internal transcribed spacer 2, and large subunit ribosomal RNA". The stretch from base 1 to 119 matches the Rfam family "5.8S ribosomal RNA", at positions 35 to 154 of the family's 154-position model. The record is from RNAcentral.